RNAcentral lists this long non-coding RNA (490 nucleotides) under Mytilus galloprovincialis (Mediterranean mussel). Lineage: Eukaryota; Metazoa; Mollusca; Bivalvia; Mytilida; Mytilidae. The record is from RNAcentral.
CUGUUCAAGUAAUUAUUACACCAACCAAGGUAAUUACAGCCUUCAAAUUUUUGAAAGAGUAUCCAGGAUUCCUGAAAGGUCUUCACAACAUUGAAUUGUCAGAUUUAUGUAAGGAAAUAUGAAAUAAGAGGAUGUGGUAUGAUUGCCAAAGAGACAUCUCUCCACUAAAGACCCUAACAUUUACAGGGUUUGUGUAGUGUUGUGUUUUGUGGACUUUUUUGUCUGUCUGUUGUUUUCAUUUUUUUGCCAUCACAUUGUUAGUUUCUUUCAUCUAAUGACUUAUGAAUGGCCCCUUGAGUUGUCACCCAUCUUUUUUUUUGUUGGUUAUAUACAUGUAUACAAUUCUUUACAUAUGUAUUUGUUAUCUGAUUUACUUGUCCAUUUUUUUUAUACUGACAAUUUAAAAACAAUCUAUUUGGGACAGAAGAAUAUGAGAGAUACACACAUUCAAGCAAGAAAAAUAUUACAAAUAAAAAACAAGAAGAAUUAC